CAGUCGCCGCGGUAAUACAGAGGGUGCAAGCGUUAAUCGGAAUUACUGGGCGUAAAGCGCGCGUAGGUGGUUUGUUAAGUUGGAUGUGAAAUCCCCGGGCUCAACCUGGGAACUGCAUCCAAAACUGGCAGGCUAGAGUAGGGCAGAGGGUGGUGGAAUUUCCUGUGUAGCGGUGAAAUGCGUAGAUAUAGGAAGGAACACCAGUGGCGAAGGCGACCACCUGGACUGAUACUGACACUGAGGUGCGAAAGCGUGGGGAGCAAACAGGAUUAGAUACCCCUGUAGUCCCUGUCUCUUAUAC
RNAcentral lists this ribosomal RNA (301 nucleotides) under uncultured bacterium. RNAcentral describes it as "partial 16S ribosomal RNA". It matches the Rfam family "Bacterial small subunit ribosomal RNA", at positions 509 to 807 of the family's 1533-position model. The record is from RNAcentral.